GGGGCCCAGAGAGCUGUGGCUUCAGAAGCGCCCCAGGUGAUCCCGAUGACACUCAAGUGGGAGCCCCACCGCUUUGUUUUGCACUUAGAGCUCGCUUCUGUGUCUCUUCGGUCAGCUGGUCUGGUUCCCGGCUGUGGUUCCUGAUCCCUGAAGUCUGGUUCCAUGGGCAUAAUCUUUGCCCGUUGAACCUGAGGGAACUGCCUUGUCAGUUUCCCUCCCAGGCUCCGGGCCCUGCUCCUCCACCCCGUCCUCCCCACUCUGCUUCCUUCUCUCAUAGCAGUUGAGGCUUAACCUCAUCCUGUAAGCAACAGAGACCCCGGGUCUGUUUGCCCCCUCCGGACCUGCUGCAUUGAGUUAGUAUCCAAUAUGCUGCUAUCAAAUACUUUUGAAUGAAAGGAUUAAGCAGCUUUUAGUUUCCAAAAUUCUUCUCCCCAUAUUAUCUCAUCAGAUCAUUGUGACAGUCAAAGACAGAGCUCAAGGGUUAACCAUAUUUAACAGUCAACAACACCGGGGCCAACCCAGGUUAUAGGACAGUCAGCAGUAGAGCAAAGUCUGGAAUUCAAGUCUCUUAAAUCCUGAUACAGUAGCCCGUUCCACUGAGCGGCAUUUUCUGCACUCUUCAUCUAGCCAGUGGUAUUUCCCACUCUCCCCGAAGCACAUCAUUAGCAUUUCCUGCAAGGCCCACAUUUGAAAUCAACACUCACUUCUCGCAGGUACUGGUUUAAACUGGACAAACCGCAGACGGUGUCCUUUACCUUGUUGCACAGGUGCACACCAAAAGAUUUAGUAGAAGACAGGAGACUGGAUGUUGGGCCGUGCAGAGAAGGUCGCGUGCACCUGCGGUGAUUGGUUCAUGGGGUCAAAUGAGUCUCUGGCGAUUGACAGAGUUGAUUAAUGGGUUGGAGAAUCCUGCAGUGGUUGAGACAUCACGUGAUUUUUAACUCGCCCCUCUUACUAGUUUGCAUUUGUCCCUCAUGUCUUAGGAACAUCAAGAAUAAAGUUGGAGUGGGAGAGA
This is a long non-coding RNA of Neofelis nebulosa (Clouded leopard), 1015 nucleotides long. RefSeq lists it as uncharacterized. The record is from RefSeq and is a predicted model, not a curated record. NCBI's taxonomy places the organism in Eukaryota, Metazoa, Chordata, Mammalia, Carnivora, Felidae. The transcript is spliced from 2 exons.